Oreochromis niloticus (Nile tilapia) is the source of this 3479-nucleotide RNA transcript. RefSeq lists it as uncharacterized. NCBI's taxonomy places the organism in Eukaryota, Metazoa, Chordata, Actinopteri, Cichliformes, Cichlidae. The record is from RefSeq and is a predicted model, not a curated record. The transcript is spliced from 4 exons.
AAAUGCACUGUGUCACUCCCAUGUGAUUGGCUAAUAAUUAUGUGUGUUACUGUACAGCUGAUGUACAGCACUGGUGCACUAACGAAUCGGCCAGUGAGUAAAUCUGUACCUAACUUGUUUCAUAGACCUGAAUAUGAUAGUUCAGUAGUUUCGUAUGAUCGAUCAUCUGUGGGAUGUGCUAGACAAACAAGUCUGAUCCAUGGAAGCCUGACUUCACAACUUACAGGAUUUAAAGGAUCUGUUGCUAAAAUCUUGGUGCCAGAUACCAAAGCACAUGUUCAGGGCUCUCUCUAGUGGAGUCCAUGUCUCAAUGGGUGAGGGCUCUUUUGGCCAACACAAUAUUAGGCAGGUGGUCAUAAUGUUAUGUCUGAUCAGUGUACAGUACAGUUCAAACAUGAUGCAUUCUGGAUUAAUUUUGUUUGAUUUCUUUUCUAAUCGAACUGGUGGACUGAUUUUUGGAUCAUGUGAUUGAGAGCUGAUGAAGAAUGGUGUGUGACUGUGGGGUAGAGAAGAUGGACAUUCUGUCAUGGUCCCCGUGCCUCGCUGGCUGACUCUGUGUUAGGCAACACGUUUUGUUUGUUUUUUGCUCUCUCUCUCUUUCUCCUCCGCCGGGGCGGUGCUCAUUACGGGCUCCCGCCCCUGGCCCACGCACCUGUGCUCUCCGUCACACCUGCAGCUGAUCCUAGCCGAUUGAAGCACUAUUUAUGAUGGCGGACCUGUGUUAUUCUUCGCUGGAUCGUUGAGCCAUAAGCGUCAGUCCCUCUGAAUCGGAAUCUGAUUUCUGGUCUGCGCCUGAGUCCGUUUCAAACUCCGUGACAAAACGAUCCAACCAUCAUGGACUCAUCAGGUCAGGAUCCCGUGGCUUAGGCGCUGGCUGCCCAGGAAGCUGCGUUAGCUCGCCAUGAACAAAUGCUGAUGCAACUGAGGAAUGAGAUCGCUGCGUUAACUCAGGCUGUCGCCCGAUUAACACCUCUGGAAAGCAAUGCGCAGCCAGGGAACGCAGCUCCGGCGGCUAGCCCACCUUCAGUAGCCACACAAUCUCCAGGGGGACCGCUGCCCACUCCAGAGCCAUUCUCAGGUGAGUCAGACAAAUGUGCCGGUUUUCUAGCUCAUCUUUUGAGAGCAGCAACGUUGUCAUAAUAACGACGGAGCAAAAAUUACCUUUUUGUACAACUGCUGAGGGAUCAUGCACUGAAAUGGGCCCAGGUUGUGUUCAACUCUGACCCUGGGAUUUCCUAUACAGCCUUUCUGUCUAAAUUUAAGACUGUGUUUACCAAAGGUUCCAGUGCCGAAACGGCUGCACUCUACCUAUUAAACUUCAAACAAGGUAAGCGGAGCAUGUCUGAUUAUGCAAUUGACUUUUGGAUUUUGGCUGAAGACACGGGCUGGGGUCAGGAAGUGCUGAGAAGCGCGCUUCUGAAUAACAUUCGUGAGGAUUUGAAGGUUGAACUAAUCAUGCAUGACCUGCCAACUUAAUUCAAUGAACUAAUGUCUCUAUGCAUCAAGGUGGAUGAGCGGCUGCGGGUCGCAAUGACACUACAACUCCCAUUAGGUACUGGGGCAAUGCCCAGCUUAUCUGCGAAGGUAAUGGCCUGAAGAUGCUGAUGAAGCAGGCGUUAAAGCUGAAGGAUGCACUGGUGAUGAAGAUGAUCAGGAAUCUGUCUCAGCAUGAUGGACCCACCAAACAUUUGUUCUUGGUGCGUACAUUUAAAAUGAAUCCUACUGAGUCUCCUGAGGAUUAAUUGGAGACCUUGCCGCUCUGAUCAGUGAGAACAAAGCUGAGAAGUUUGUGGUCGAGUGUCUUGGGACACUGGCCAACCUGACCAUCCCUAAUGUGGACUGGGCUCUGGUGUUCAAGGAGUACUACCUGGUCCCUUAUUUGAACGACACACUCAAACCAGGUGGGUGUAUAUGGUUUCUUACACCAUUUAACUGCCUGCAAGAAAAACCAAGAAGUUUUUAAAGAACGUGUUUGUCUCAGCCAAACAGAAGGAUGGUUUUCCAUGAAGCUACGAGAUGUGAUUAUCAAAGACACCCAGGUCCUAGCUUACCUCAUCAACCUAUUGCACACUAACAAUCAGUAUCAGUAGAGUCUGUCACGACACCCCUGAUAUCAUCACUGUGAGUAUGUAGAUCAGUCGUCAGGGUCAGUCAGUAUGCUUUACUGACAAGUUUGGUCAGAUAGAACACUUAUGCACAGGAGAAAGUGCUUUUGUGAAUGGGUGUGUGUACAGGACAGUAGAAAUGUGCUAUAUAACAAUCACCUCAUUUAAUCAUUCAUAGAAGCACUUUUUUUUUUCUACGGAAGUGUUUUCUGUAAUUUAACUUGACAGGGGCAUGCACAAAAAUAUGAUUCCUGCUAUGGAUCUCUGAGAAAUGACAUGGGUUUCCUUGAAACUGUGCUGAGCAUGAACAUCUAAGACAGAAUACUAGCGUUUCAGACAAAACAAUAAAUAUAAUACAAUAGUAAAACCAACAAAUUACUUAAAAAUAAAAAGGGUUCUAUGGAUCUGUGGAUCAUUUCAGUGUCAAAAAGAUCUACUGCUAAGAUCAGAAGACUAAAGGUUUGAAUUAAUUGAAUCUUCCAGGUAAGAACUGUUAUAAUGUGAUGCAUAUUACAGAAUUCCGUAUUUUCGUUGUAUUUAUUAAAUUGAAUCAGAGCCCACAUUACAAAAGAAAUGUUUUAUUAUUCUACAAAAACAUUUUUUAAUAAUUAAUCUAAAUUCAAAAUCCAGUUCACUGAACUUCAUUCUAUGCGCUAGCAUUUCUGCACUCUGUGUGGAGCAUUCUUACAACAGAUGCUCUGUGCUCAGAGUAGAAAAGCACUACAUAUACAUUUACCAUUUAUAAUUUCUAUUCAAAAGUGAUUUUUCUCUGUUGAUCCUCUCAAUCCUCUCUUUAAGUCAGACCUUCUCUCAAAUUUCACAUCAGUGAUUAACUAACUGAUGAAUUUCUUGUGACUGACACGUGUGGUCAGCUCCCAGUCAGUGUGUGAUCACUACCAGACCUCAGAUCAACAUAAUUAGCUGUAGAUUAGAGACAGGCAGUGCAACAGGGCAAAGGAAGUGUUUCAUUGAAAUUAUCAGUGAGACCUAUUAAGUUGUGAACCACAUGAAAGGUAGCCAUUGGGGCUCUGGAGUGUGUCAGCAGCUGGACAGCAGAGGUGAGAGAGAAAGCAGAACUGUGGACACAAACACACACAUCAUUAUUGCUUGGCAAUGUGGGAUCCUUUUGGCAGCACACGCCAUAACUGCGCAGUCCUGAAAUGCUUGCCUUUGAUCAUUGCAGCUCUGCUCAUGUACAAAUACACAUUAACAUAGUGAUGGUUUCAUGUGAAACUUUGUAGAUGCUCCAAGAGGGAAACAGGCCCAAUUCACAAUGAUAUUCUUAGCCUGGGUGUAUUUCCUUAGGAAUAUGUUCAAAAGCUCCCAAAACCUGUUAUGUGCUUCCUUAGCCCUGCUGUCAUGAGCUCAGCUUAU